UAUUUUAGCUAGGGGUGCCUUUUAAGGCUUUUAUAGUUGAUAUCAUUAAAAAUAUUUAACUAAUAAAAGACUUUAGGCUGAGAGGAGAAAUCCAACCCUUUGAACUUGAUGUAGUUAAUACUACCGUAGGGAAGCAGUGCAUUGUAUAU
RNAcentral lists this non-coding RNA (149 nucleotides) under Clostridium acetobutylicum. RNAcentral describes it as "TPP sequence". It matches the Rfam family "TPP riboswitch aptamer (THI element)". Rfam says of the family: Vitamin B(1) in its active form thiamin pyrophosphate (TPP) is an essential coenzyme that is synthesised by coupling of pyrimidine and thiazole moieties in bacteria. The previously detected thiamin-regulatory element, thi box was extended, resulting in a new, highly conserved RNA secondary structure, the THI element, which is widely distributed in eubacteria and also occurs in some archaea. Lineage: Bacteria; Bacillati; Bacillota; Clostridia; Eubacteriales; Clostridiaceae. The record is from RNAcentral. RNAcentral also lists the same sequence under 1 other name.